This 240-nucleotide unclassified non-coding RNA is filed under the name soil metagenome. RNAcentral describes it as "partial contains 5.8S ribosomal RNA, internal transcribed spacer 2, and large subunit ribosomal RNA". The record is from RNAcentral.
AACGGUCUAUACCUGCGGUACCUGCGGAAGGAUCAUUAAUGAGAAACUGCCCCUCGCGGGUAGAUCUCCCACCCUUUGUAAACUUACCUUUGUUGCUUUGGCAGGCCCGUCUCCGGACCGCCGGCUUCGGCUGGCCAGUGCCUGCCAGAGGAUUCUAAAACUCUGUCUGUCAGUGUUGUCUGAGUCUAUAUACAAUCGUUAAAACUUUCAGCAACGGAUCUCUAGAUCGGAAGAGCACAC